GGAAUUUUGGACAAUGGGCGCAAGCCUGAUCCAGCAAUGCCGCGUGAGUGAAGAAGGCCUUCGGGUUGUAAAGCUCUUUUGUCAGGGAAGAAACGGUAGAGGCUAAUAUCCUUUGCUAAUGACGGUACCUGAAGAAUAAGCACCGGCUAACUACGUGCCAGCAGCCGCGGUAAUACGUAGGGUGCAAGCGUUAAUCGGAAUUACUGGGCGUAAAGCGUGCGCAGGCGGUUUUGUAAGUCUGAUGUGAAAUCCCCGGGCUCAACCUGGGAAUUGCAUUGGAGACUGCAAGGCUAGAAUCUGGCAGAGGGGGGUAGAAUUCCACGUGUAGCAGUGAAAUGCGUAGAUAUGUGGAGGAACACCGAUGGCGAAGGCAGCCCCCUGGGUCAAGAUUGACGCUCAUGCACGAAAGCGUGGGGAGCAAACAGGAUUAGAUACCCCAG
This 440-nucleotide ribosomal RNA is filed under the name uncultured Janthinobacterium sp. RNAcentral describes it as "bacterial SSU rRNA". It matches the Rfam family "Bacterial small subunit ribosomal RNA", at positions 358 to 790 of the family's 1533-position model. The record is from RNAcentral. Lineage: Bacteria; Pseudomonadati; Pseudomonadota; Betaproteobacteria; Burkholderiales; Oxalobacteraceae.